CUCAAGGUUCCGUCCACCUUGGAGAUGAGGGGCUUCAGAUGGCUGGACUAUGUAACCUCCCAACAGCCAGGGCCUGGAGCGCCAAAGUCUUCCUCUAGAAACUCUGAAACUCUUCUGACCCCUUCACGAGUGUUCUAAGAGGACUGGAGGUGGCGACAGCAUCACAAAGAGCAAACCCCAAGGAGAAGGUCAUAUUUCUGGAGGUCAGGGGCAAGUUGAAGAGAAUGGGCUCCAGUGCUCGCCAUCCUUGCUGUGACUGACGCCUGGGUUUCCUCAAAGACGCUGAAGGUGAUUCCCCGCAUGAAGGCCACUUUGCCUUCCCAUGUGGAAUAUUUCAAUACAGUAAGGUUGAAUAGGCAAAUGCAAUUUGUUAAACAAAUCGGCAAAUGAAGCAGUGCUAAGUCAAUUUCAAAAUUGCUGGUUCUUCCUAUGUAGCUUGUUACACUACAAUUUUGACACGCUGAUUUCAAUUUGGGGUUACACUUCCACGACAAGGAAUUAGCAAUGUCACAAUUGUCAGAACAAUCUUUGGUCUUCUAAUGAACCACAAAAUAAUAAAUCAUUCUAUCAGUGUGUAUUCACCUUUACAUCUCUACCAAGUAACCCCUAAGUGACCAAGCAGUUUCAAGAUAAAAUGAUACAGUAUCGAAUAAAAUGAAAGCAC
This is a long non-coding RNA of Talpa occidentalis (Iberian mole), 664 nucleotides long. RefSeq lists it as uncharacterized. NCBI's taxonomy places the organism in Eukaryota, Metazoa, Chordata, Mammalia, Eulipotyphla, Talpidae. The record is from RefSeq and is a predicted model, not a curated record. The transcript is spliced from 3 exons.